This 83-nucleotide transfer RNA is filed under the name Acidimicrobiia bacterium. Its description in RNAcentral is "tRNA-Leu". It matches the Rfam family "tRNA". From Rfam's summary of the family: Transfer RNA (tRNA) molecules are approximately 80 nucleotides in length. Lineage: Bacteria; Bacillati; Actinomycetota; Acidimicrobiia. The record is from RNAcentral.
GCGAGCGUGGCGGAACCGGCAGACGCGCCGGGUUUAGGUCCCGGUGGCCUUCGGGUCUUGGGGGUUCGACUCCCCCGCUCGCA